Molecule: ribosomal RNA, 253 nt
Filed under: uncultured bacterium
Lineage: Bacteria
Description: partial 16S ribosomal RNA
Rfam family: Bacterial small subunit ribosomal RNA
Source: RNAcentral
UACGUAGGGUGCAAGCGUUAUCCGGAAUUAUUGGGCGUAAAGAGCUCGUAGGCGGUUUGUCGCGUCUGCUGUGAAAACCGGAGGCUCAACCUCCGGCCUGCAGUGGGUACGGGCAAACUAGAGUGCGGUAGGGGAGAUUGGAAUUCCUGGUGUAGCGGUGGAAUGCGCAGAUAUCAGGAGGAACACCGAUGGCGAAGGCAGAUCUCUGGGCCGUAACUGACGCUGAGGAGCGAAAGCGUGGGGAGCGAACGGG